ACAUCGGUAGCACAGUGGUUAGUGCAGUCUGCCGGAAACAGAAGGAUGCGGGUUCAAUUUCCGUCCGACGUC
This 72-nucleotide transfer RNA is filed under the name Nippostrongylus brasiliensis. It matches the Rfam family "tRNA". Rfam says of the family: Transfer RNA (tRNA) molecules are approximately 80 nucleotides in length. Their secondary structure includes four short double-helical elements and three loops (D, anti-codon, and T loops). Lineage: Eukaryota; Metazoa; Nematoda; Chromadorea; Rhabditida; Heligmosomidae. The record is from Rfam by way of RNAcentral.